RNAcentral lists this ribosomal RNA (1074 nucleotides) under Vibrio parahaemolyticus. RNAcentral describes it as "partial 23S ribosomal RNA". It matches the Rfam family "Bacterial large subunit ribosomal RNA", at positions 1641 to 2697 of the family's 2925-position model. Lineage: Bacteria; Pseudomonadati; Pseudomonadota; Gammaproteobacteria; Vibrionales; Vibrionaceae. The record is from RNAcentral.
AUCGUACCCCAAACCGACACAGGUGGUCGGGUAGAGAAUACCAAGGCGCUUGAGAGAACUCGGGUGAAGGAACUAGGCAAAAUGGUACCGUAACUUCGGGAGAAGGUACGCUCUCGACGGUGAAGUCCCUUGCGGAUGGAGCUAUUGAGAGUCGCAGAUACCAGGUGGCUGCAACUGUUUAUUAAAAACACAGCACUGUGCAAAAUCGUAAGAUGACGUAUACGGUGUGACGCCUGCCCGGUGCCGGAAGGUUAAUUGAUGGGGUUAGACUUCGGUCGAAGCUCUUGAUCGAAGCCCCGGUAAACGGCGGCCGUAACUAUAACGGUCCUAAGGUAGCGAAAUUCCUUGUCGGGUAAGUUCCGACCUGCACGAAUGGCGUAAUGAUGGCCACGCUGUCUCCACCCGAGACUCAGUGAAAUUGAAAUCGCUGUGAAGAUGCAGUGUACCCGCGGCUAGACGGAAAGACCCCGUGAACCUUUACUACAGCUUGGCACUGAACAUUGACCCUACAUGUGUAGGAUAGGUGGGAGGCUUUGAAGCACGUACGCCAGUAUGUGUGGAGCCGUCCUUGAAAUACCACCCUUGUAGUGUUGAUGUUCUAACGUCGACCCCUUAUCGGGGUUGCGGACAGUGCCUGGUGGGUAGUUUGACUGGGGCGGUCUCCUCCCAAAGAGUAACGGAGGAGCACGAAGGUGGGCUAAUCACGGUUGGACAUCGUGAGGUUAGUGCAAUGGCAUAAGCCCGCUUGACUGCGAGAAUGACAAUUCGAGCAGGUGCGAAAGCAGGUCAUAGUGAUCCGGUGGUUCUGAAUGGAAGGGCCAUCGCUCAACGGAUAAAAGGUACUCCGGGGAUAACAGGCUGAUACCGCCCAAGAGUUCAUAUCGACGGCGGUGUUUGGCACCUCGAUGUCGGCUCAUCACAUCCUGGGGCUGAAGUCGGUCCCAAGGGUAUGGCUGUUCGCCAUUUAAAGUGGUACGCGAGCUGGGUUUAGAACGUCGUGAGACAGUUCGGUCCCUAUCUGCCGUGGGCGUUGGAAGAUUGAAGGGGGCUGCUCCUAGUACGAGAGGACCGGAG